Molecule: ribosomal RNA, 485 nt
Filed under: uncultured bacterium
Lineage: Bacteria
Description: bacterial SSU rRNA
Rfam family: Bacterial small subunit ribosomal RNA
Source: RNAcentral
UAUCCUGGCUCAGGAUAAACGACUGGCGGCGCACAUAAGACAUGCAAGUCGAACGAACUUAAUACCUUGCUUGCAAGGUAAGCGGUUAGUGGCGGACUGGUGAGUAACACGUAAGAAAUCUGCCUAUCAGAGGGGAAUAACAGUGAGAAAUCACUGCUAAUACCGCAUAUGCCAUAGUCAUCGCAUGAUGAUAGUGGGAAAGAAGCAAUUCGCUGAUAGAUGAGCUUGCGGCUGAUUAGCUAGUUGGUGGGGUAACGGCCUACCAAGGCGACGAUCAGUAGCCGGACUGAGAGGUUGAACGGCCACAUUGGGACUGAGAUACGGCCCAGACUCCUACGGGAGGCAGCAGUCGGGAAUAUUGCGCAAUGGAGGCAACUCUGACGCAGUGACGCCGCGUAUAGGAAGAAGGUUUUCGGAUUGUAAACUAUUGUCCUCAGGGAAGAAAAAAGACUGUACCCGAGAAGAAAGCUCCGGCUAACUACGUG